AUGUCAAGUUAUAAAUCGUCUCUGGGCCUAAUCUAUUAUUCUACAUUAUCAGAUCAAAACAAUUGUCUUCUGAUUUAUCCAUUUGGGAAUCAAUUCGUGGAAUUUCCUGCUGGAAUUCCUUUGGUUUCCCUUUAUUGUCUUCAGACCACUCCUUCUCCACCACCUCAGAUGUUUGCUUCAAAAACAGUAAUCACAUGCUAG
RNAcentral lists this ribosomal RNA (201 nucleotides) under Triticum aestivum (bread wheat). RNAcentral's name for it is "partial small subunit ribosomal RNA". The record is from RNAcentral. Lineage: Eukaryota; Viridiplantae; Streptophyta; Magnoliopsida; Poales; Poaceae.